CUACGGGAUGCUCCAGUGAGGAAUCUUGCGCAAUGGGGGAAACCCUGACGCAGCCAUGCCGCGUGGGUGAAGAAGGCCUUCGGGUCGUAAAGCCCUGUCAGAUGGGAAGAAACACAUAAUUAUUAAUAAUUUUUGUGCCUGACGGUACCAUCAAAGGAAGCACCGGCUAACUCCGUGCCAGCAGCCGCGGUAAUACGGAGGGUGCAAGCGUUGUUCGGAAUUACUGGGCGUAAAGGGCGUGUAGGCGGCCCGGUCAGUCGGAUGUGAAAUCCCUCGGCUCAACUGAGGAACUGCAUCCGAUACUGCUGGGCUUGAGUCUUGGAGGGGGAAGUGGAAUUCCCGGUGUAGAGGUGAAAUUCGUAGAUAUCGGGAGGAACACCAGUGGCGAAGGCGACUUCCUGGACAAAGACUGACGCUGAGACGCGAAAGCGUGGGGAGCAAACAGGAUUAGAUACCCGAGUAGUC
This 465-nucleotide ribosomal RNA is filed under the name uncultured bacterium. RNAcentral's name for it is "partial 16S ribosomal RNA". It matches the Rfam family "Bacterial small subunit ribosomal RNA", at positions 339 to 795 of the family's 1533-position model. The record is from RNAcentral.